AUUGAACGCUGGCGGCAGGCCUAACACAUGCAAGUCGAGCGGAUGAAGGGAGCUUGCUCCUGGAUUCAGCGGCGGACGGGUGAGUAAUGCCUAGGAAUCUGCCUGGUAGUGGGGGAUAACGUCCGGAAACGGGCGCUAAUACCGCAUACGUCCUGAGGGAGAAAGUGGGGGAUCUUCGGACCUCACGCUAUCAGAUGAGCCGAGGUCGGAUUAGCUAGUUGGUGGGGUAAAGGCCUACCAAGGCGACGAUCCGUAACUGGUCUGAGAGGAUGAUCAGUCACACUGGAACUGAGACACGGUCCAGACGCCUACGGGAGGCAGCAGUGGGGAAUAUUGGACAAUGGGCGAAAGCCUGAUCCAGCCAUGCCGCGUGUGUGAAGAAGGGCUUCGGAUUGUAAAGCACUUUAAGUUGGGAGGAAGGGCAGUAAGUUAAUACCUUGCUGUUUUGACGUUACCAACAGAAUAAGCACCGGCUAACUUCGUG
Molecule: ribosomal RNA, 484 nt
Filed under: uncultured bacterium
Lineage: Bacteria
Description: partial 16S ribosomal RNA
Rfam family: Bacterial small subunit ribosomal RNA
Source: RNAcentral